Molecule: non-coding RNA, 123 nt
Filed under: uncultured Flavonifractor sp.
Lineage: Bacteria; Bacillati; Bacillota; Clostridia; Eubacteriales; Oscillospiraceae
Description: FMN riboswitch (RFN element)
Rfam family: FMN riboswitch aptamer (RFN element)
About the family: The RFN element is a highly conserved domain that is found frequently in the 5'-untranslated regions of prokaryotic mRNAs that encode for flavin mononucleotide (FMN) biosynthesis and transport proteins.
Source: RNAcentral
UGUCUUCAGGGCAGGGUGAAAAUCCCGAUCGGCGGUAAAGUCCGCGAGCCGUUUUGGCCGACCCGGUGGAACUCCGGGACCGACAGUGACGCACGGUGUGCGAAGUCUGGAUGGAAGAAGACG